AGUAAAGAGCAAGAAUUAAAUGUUAAUGGUUAGUGUUAGUAGUUAGUGUGCCAUAAGGAAAAUUUAGCGCUAUGUUAAGCAAUCGUAAUUGGACUUAUGUAGAAGUCACAACUAUCUGAGGCCGGUCAAUAAUAAUGUAGGCAACAACACAAGUUAGAAGUCUUGAUUAGUGAACCAAGUUCCAACAACUUGCCAUGCCAAAAGGAAGAAGAGAAUUGAUCUUGUAUUGGUUUAAGCCUUUUGCAU
This 246-nucleotide long non-coding RNA is filed under the name Lathyrus oleraceus (garden pea). RNAcentral describes it as "Pisum sativum (pea) long non-coding RNA (PSAT_LNC027523)". The record is from RNAcentral. Lineage: Eukaryota; Viridiplantae; Streptophyta; Magnoliopsida; Fabales; Fabaceae.